Molecule: ribosomal RNA, 465 nt
Filed under: uncultured bacterium
Lineage: Bacteria
Description: bacterial SSU rRNA
Rfam family: Bacterial small subunit ribosomal RNA
Source: RNAcentral
CCUACGGGUUGCAGCAGUAGGGAAUCUUCGGCAAUGGACGAAAGUCUGACCGAGCAACGCCGCGUGAGUGAAGAAGGUUUUCGGAUCGUAAAACUCUGUUGUUAGAGAAGAACAAGGACGUUAGUAACUGAACGUCCACUGACGGUAUCUAACCAGAAAGCCACGGCUAACUACGUGCCAGCAGCCGCGGUAAUACGUAGGUGGCAAGCGUUGUCCGGAUUUAUUGGGCGUAAAGCGAGCGCAGGCGGUUUCUUAAGUCUGAUGUGAAAGCCCCCGGCUCAACCGGGGAGGGUCAUUGGAAACUGGGAGACUUGAGUACAGAAGAGGAGAGUGGAAUUCCAUGUGUAGCGGUGAAAUGCGUAGAUAUAUGGAGGAACACCAGUGGCGAAGGCGGCUCUCUGGUCUGUAACUGACGCUGAGGCUCGAAAGCGUGGGGAGCAAACAGGAUUAGAUACCCUUGUAGUC